Molecule: ribosomal RNA, 326 nt
Filed under: uncultured eukaryote
Lineage: Eukaryota
Description: partial 18S ribosomal RNA
Rfam family: Eukaryotic small subunit ribosomal RNA
Source: RNAcentral
CCCUUAGAUGUCCUGGGCCGCACGCGCGCUACACUGAUGCAUUCAACAAGCCUAGCCUUGACCGAGAGGUCCGGGUAAUCUUUGAAACUGCAUCGUGAUGGGGCUAGAUUAUUGCAAUUAUUAAUCUUCAACGAGGAAUGCCUAGUAAGCGUGAUUCAUCAAAUCGCGUUGAUUACGUCCCUGCCCUUUGUACACACCGCCCGUCGCUCCUACCGAUUGAAUGUGUUGGUGAGGAGCUCGGAUUGGCAGCAGUUGGUGGUUCGCCACCGGCUAUUGCUGAGAAGUCCUCCAAACCGCCCCAUUUAGAGGAAGGAGAAGUCGUANCA